GCAAGCGUCGUAUAAUGGUUAGUACAUCAGCCUUCCACGCUGAGAGCGAGGGUUCGACUCCCUUCACUUGCUCCA
RNAcentral lists this transfer RNA (75 nucleotides) under Gemmiger formicilis. RNAcentral describes it as "tRNA-Gly". It matches the Rfam family "tRNA". From Rfam's summary of the family: Transfer RNA (tRNA) molecules are approximately 80 nucleotides in length. The record is from RNAcentral. Lineage: Bacteria; Bacillati; Bacillota; Clostridia; Eubacteriales; Oscillospiraceae.